GUUUACAGCCAUACCACCCUGAACGUGACCAGUCUUGUCUGAUCUCAGAAGCUAAGCAAGGGUAGUUCUGGUUAGUGUUAGGCCUGAAAAGGGAGAUUUAAAGA
Molecule: ribosomal RNA, 104 nt
Filed under: Castor canadensis (American beaver)
Lineage: Eukaryota; Metazoa; Chordata; Mammalia; Rodentia; Castoridae
Source: RNAcentral